GAGUUUCUGACCUAUUAACUUUCGAUGGUAAUUUAGUGGAUUACCAUGGUUUUCAUGGGUAACGGAGAAUUUGGGUUUGAUUCCGGAGAAAAGGCCUGAGAGACGGCCAUUACUUCCAAGGAAGGCAGCAGGCGCGUAAAUUACCCAAUCCCAAUUCGGGGAGGUAGUGACGAGAAAUACUAGUAUUGGUCCCAACGGGAACAAUGAUUGGAAUGAGAACAAUUUAAAAACAUUAACGACUAACAAUUGGAGGGCAAGUCUGGUGCCAGCAGCCGCGGUAACUCCAGCUCCAAGAGUGUAUAUUAAAGUUGUUGCGGUUAAAAAGCUCGUAGUUGGACUUGAGGGAUUUAUAUAAAGAGAUUCUAGUUUUAAAGCUAGUUAUUUCUGUAUAUUUUUUCCUUUCUUUUUAUUUUUUUUUAAAGAUCUGGGACGAUGGGGUUAAAUCCGGAAGCCCUUUUCUUGUAAAAAUAGAUAGUUUACUUUGAAAAAAUUAGAGUGUUUAAAGCAGGCAUGACAUGUACAAUUGAAUAUUACAGCAUGGGAUAAUAGAAUAGGACAUUAACCUUAAUUUUGUUGGUUUUGAAGGUUAAUAGUAAUGAUUAAAAGGGAUAGUUGGGGUCACUUGUAUUUGAUCGCUAGGGGUGAAAUCCUAUGAUUGAUCAAAGACAAACUACUGCGAAAGCAUUUGACAAGGAUGUUUUCAUUGAUCAAGAACGAAAGUUAGGGGAUCGAAGAUGAUUAGAUACCGUCGUAGUCUUAACCAUAAACAAUGUCGACUUUGGAUUAGGAAAUAUUACAUGGAUGAUUUUCCUAGCACAAUAUGAGAAAUCAUAAGUAUUCAGACUCCGGGGGGAGUAUGGUCGCAAGAGUGAAACUUAAAGGAAUUGACGGAAGGGCACCACCAGGAGUGGAACCUGCGGCUUAAUUUGACCCAACACGGGGAAACUUACCGGGUCCGGACACUUUGAGGAUUGACAGAUUGAUAGCUCUUUCUUGAUUAAGUGGGUGGUGGUGCAUGGCCGUUUUUAGUUGGUGGAUUGAUUUGUCUGGUUAAUUCCGAAAACGAACGAGACCUUAACCUAUUAAAUAGUAUAAUUAAAAUUGAAUACAAAUUCUUGAAAUUUGAAAAAAAAAAGAAAUGGAUACUUCUUAAAGGGACUCUUCAUAUUUUAGUGAAUGGAAGUUUAAGGCAAAAACAGGUCUGUGAUGCCCUUAGAUGUUCCGGGCUGCACGCGCGUUACACUGAUGCGAUCAAAGAGUUUAAUUUAAAUUUCCUUAUUUGAAAAGAUUGGGUAAACUUUAAAAUCGUAUCGUGAUUGGGAUAGUGCUUUGUAAUUAUCGCACUUGAACGAGGAAUUCCUAGUAGGUGCAAGUCAUCAUCUUGCUCCGAUUACGUCCCCGCCCUUUGUACACACCGCCCGUCGCUCCUACCGAUUGAAUAAUCCGAUGAGGA
This 1453-nucleotide ribosomal RNA is filed under the name uncultured soil eukaryote. Its description in RNAcentral is "SSU rRNA". It matches the Rfam family "Eukaryotic small subunit ribosomal RNA", at positions 301 to 1707 of the family's 1831-position model. The record is from RNAcentral.